GAUGAAGAACGUAGUGAAAUGCGAUACGUAAUGUGAAUUGCAGAUCUCUCAGUGAACCAUCGAAUCUUUGAACGCACAUUGCGCCCGCUAGUAUUCUGGCGGGCAUGCCUGUCCGAGCGUCAUUUCAACCCUCAAGCCCCCGGGCUUGGUGUUGGGGAUCGGCGAGCCUCCGCGCCCGCCGUCCCCUAAAUCUAGUGGCGGUCUCGCUGUAGCUUCCUCUGCGUAGUAGCACACCUCGCACUGGGAAACAGCGCGGCCACGCCGUUAAACCCCCAACUUCUGAACGUUUGACCUCGGAUCAGGUAGGAAUACCCGCUGAACUUAAGCAUAUCAAUAAGCGGAGGA
This 345-nucleotide unclassified non-coding RNA is filed under the name soil metagenome. RNAcentral's name for it is "partial contains 5.8S ribosomal RNA, internal transcribed spacer 2, and large subunit ribosomal RNA". The stretch from base 1 to 122 matches the Rfam family "5.8S ribosomal RNA", at positions 35 to 154 of the family's 154-position model. The record is from RNAcentral.